RNAcentral lists this ribosomal RNA (5538 nucleotides) under Triticum aestivum (bread wheat). Its description in RNAcentral is "partial small subunit ribosomal RNA". The record is from RNAcentral. Lineage: Eukaryota; Viridiplantae; Streptophyta; Magnoliopsida; Poales; Poaceae.
AUGGCGGACCUGGUGGGGAGGGCGGUGAGGAAGGCGUUCCCGGGGUUCGGGGUCUUCUCCGGCGUCGUGGAGUCGUACGACGCCGAGGCCGGGUACUUCCGCGUGCUCUACGAGGACGGCGACUCCGAGGAGAUCGACGGGGACGAGAUGGGCUCCAUCCUCGUGGGCGCGCCCAUGCCGCCGCAGUCGGAGACUCCCGGAGGUUCCGCCGGGAAGCGGCCUAAGAAGCGGAGGCGCGGGGACGGGGAGUCCCCGCAGGGGGACGUUUCGGUGGUGGCCGAGGCCGUAGAUGGAGAUGGACUGGCAAACGGGCCCGUGCCUGUGCUUGCAACGCCGGCGAAGGGGGGAGGAGGGGGUGGGGAAAAUGGGGAGGCCAUGGCGGAGACGGCGGGGAAGAAGCGGAAGGUUGGCCCUAGCCCAGUUCGUCGGAGCGCGAGGCAAGCGAAGGCCGCGGCAUUGGCGGCUGAAAUGGAGGCUGCCGCUAAUGUUGCCGCUGCUGCCGAGGCUGCCGAGACUUCAUCCGCCGAGGAUGUGGCUCCAGCUCCGAUUGCUGCUACGCCGCAGCAGUCUGGGAGGAAGCGUCAGCCUGCAAAUGGGAGCGGUCGGUCUCGCUCAGUCGCGAGGGAUUUAGAGGAUGCUGCGCUGGAUAGGCUGCUGCAAAAGCCGAACCUGCCACCGUCGUCGCAGGGCCUGAAUUUGGAAGGCCUCCCUGUUAUGGAUGUCUUUCAAGUCUACUCCUGCUUGAGAUCAUUUAGCAAGCAGCUUUUCCUAAGCCCGUUUGCACUGGAGACAUUUGUCGCAGCGCUGCGGUGUAAGCACGUGAACCCCUUGAUAGACUGGGUGCAUUUUGCUUUGCUCCGCUCUCUGAAGAACCACUUACAAGAUCUGGCCCAUGAAGGAGACCCUCCAGCAAUACACUGUAUUAGGAAUCUUAACUGGGAACUCUUAGACCUAGCAACUUGGCCAAUCUAUCUUGCCGAGUACUUACUGACUCGUGGUUCAGAACUGAGGUAUGGUAUGAAGCUUACAGAUCUAAAGCUGUUAGAUACAGAGUACUAUUGGCAGCCAGCAACAGUAAAACUCGAGCUACUACGCUCACUCUGCGAUGAUGUUAUUGAGAUUGAGGCUAUACGUGCUGAACUUGGUUUAAGGAUGUCUGAGUUUGAUGGAAAUGAUGAGGGCAGUAGAGCUACUGGUUCAAGAAGAAAAAAGAGAGGUUCUUCUGUCAUGGCCCUAGCAGAUUCUUCUCAGCCUCCAGAAGGCUCUGAUGAUAUGGAUGAUGGUAACAGUGACGAAUGUUAUCUGUGUGGUAUGGAUGGCAACCUGUUAUGCUGCGAUGGCUGUCCUUCAGCUUUUCACUCAAAAUGUGUGGGGGUGGUGGAGGACCUAUUGCCUGAAGGAGAAUGGCAUUGUCCCGAGUGUUCGAUGCAGAAGUACAACGGAUCCAGAAAUAUGGCAAAGCUUGUCAGAGGAGCAGAGGUUCUGGGAAGUGAUCCACAUGGACGACUAUACUUUGGCACCUGCGGCUAUCUUUUGGUGGUUGAUUCAUGUGAUCCAGACUCUCCAUGCCAUUAUUAUGGCCAGAUGGAUCUUCAUUCCCUUAUUACAGUGUUAACUCCAUGUCAUCCGUCUUACAAUCCGAUCCUAAAUGUGAUCUCUUUGUUUCGGGGUAUUGCAACUGAAACAUCUAAUAUUAACGGGCGAUAUGAGAACAGCAAGGAAUGUAGUACCUCGGACCAUGAAACAGACCACAGGCAGUCAUCACUGAAACAACCUAGUGAGCAUGUACUGUAUACCGUAGAAAAGCAUGGCUCUCAACAAUUGGAUACCGGGAAAAUUUGCACCUCAAAUUCAGAUCAGGAUGCCUCACACCAGAGUUAUACCCUGAGACGUGCGUCAAUUUCUCAAAACGGCAAUGAAACUACUGCUAAUGAGAAGCCCAAUCAAACUCCACAACCUAAUGCCUCUGGUGCCAACAAGGAUAGCUGCAGUUCUAAGCAAGAUGAUGUUGGCUUACAUGUUAAUGGUUUGUCUGCAGAGGACCAGAAAGAUGCAUCACCUCAAAAAGAAGCAAGUAACUGCUGUCUCCGUUCUGGGAAUGCUAUGUAUAUAAACUACUACAGUUUCGGUCAAAUAGCAGCAUCGGCCGCUGGAGAGUUAAAGGACAAGCUUUUAGAGAAUGAGGAAGGAAAGAAGCAUGGCCCGGAUGCAGUUUCUUUUCGGCUAAAAACAAUAUGUAAGAAAUAUGUUAAUGUUUUUGCACUGACUGAUCAAAAGUUAUCUGUGGAUCUCCUAAAGGAAAAAUGUGGCUGGUGCAACUCCUGCCAAAUCAGUGGUGGUAGUGAUUGCAUUUUCAGAUUUACUGAUGGUAAGUGUAUGGAGAGUACUAAGCCAUGUGCUGUUGGUCCUUUGUCAGAAAAGAACGAGGAAAGUCAUAUUGUCCUUGCUACACAUAGCAUGUUGUCAAUUGAAAAACGCCUGAAUGGUUUGCUGUCUGGUCCAUGGCAAAAUCCACAAUAUAGCAUGUAUUGGCGUAAGGCAGUUCUUAUGGCUUCAGAUGUAUCAUCACUGAAGCAGCCUCUUCUCACGUUAGAGUCCAGUCUGCGACGUGUUGCCUUCUCAGGAGAAUGGCAAAAACCAGCAGACUCUGUUGAAGUUGUUGGGUCUGCAGCCCAUAUCUUGGUCCGUACAUCUAAUAAGUCUGCAGGUUAUGCAAUUGCUAGAAAGCCAGGGAGGAAGCCACUUGCUAUUGAGCUCAAAGUCGACUUCCGUGAUGUUGGUGUUUAUUGGUGGAGGGGUGGAACACUGUCCCGUCAAGUGUUUCACUGGAAGAGGUUGCCUCAGUCAUUGGCCUGCAAAUCUGCUCGGCAAGCGGGACGCAAGAAAAUUCCCACCAUAGUGUAUCCCGAUGGUUCACAAUUUGCCAGGAGGUCCAAAUACAUAGCUUGGCGAGCCGCUGUGGAAAUGGCACAAAAUGUGUCCCAGCUCAUUUUGCAGAUUAAAGAGCUUGAAUUGAAUAUCAAGUGGACUGAGAUAUUGAGCACUCUCUCUUCUGCAAUUGCAACAAAGGAAACCCAGAAAAUAGCAAGGUUUUUCAAGAAAGUUAUAAUUCGCAGAAAACGUAUAGAAGCAACGAAUGUGGAAUAUCUACUUGAUUUUGGAAAGAGGGAGAAUAUUCCUCCUGUUGUUGCUAAACAUGGAGUAAAAUUUGAGGAGCCCUCUAGCGAGAGGAACAGGUAUUGGUUGAGUGAAAGUCAUGUCCCUUUGAGUCUUUUGAGGGCAUAUGAAGCCAAAGCAAUAAAUCGCUCACUUAAAAAGAAAGACAGCGAGGACAGCUCACCUAAAAAGAAGAAAGACACCAAUGACCGCUCACGUAGAAAGAAGAAAGACACCGAUGAUCUUUCUAAGAUGAGUGACUUCAGUCCUGAAAAGCCAAAAAGGUCAAGAUCAGUGUUUGAUGACCUCCUAGAGAAAGCACAAAAAGUAGAGGAAGCACAAAAACUAGAGGAAGCACAAAACCUCCUAGAGAAAGCACAAAAACUUCCCAGCAAGCUUUGCGGUCAGUGUUUCAAAACAGUAACUGCCAGGGAAGCUGUGAACUGCAAAUAUUGUGAAGCACUUUUCCAUAGAAAACAUUUCAACGUUCCUAGAGGUGCUGUGGAUACCGUCUAUGUUUGCAACAAGUGCCUAGCUGAAAAGGUCGAGCCGGUGGUGUCUCCACAGAAAAAGGCAGCAUCAAAGAAGAGCUCUCAGAAAAAGAGCUCUCCGAAAAAGAAGCAGAAGAAGCAACUACGAAAGAGUUUAAGGAGAAGAAAACAGAUAGUUAUCAACCUCAAGAAGAAAACCAGCCAGAAGAAUGGCAAGCCUGGCCGGCCUAGAAAGAAUCCGUUGAGUGUGUCAAAGAAUAAAUCACAAAAGAUGUCUGACAGUCAACCAUCAAACGAAGCCAAGAAUGAACCGGUGAAACGCAUAUCAAAAAGGUUAUAUGAUAAGUACAUGAAAGGCAACUCAGGUAAAUCCGAGCAUACAACAAGCUGUCGUAAGAAGAAGAGGACAGCUUCGCAUUACUCGUACUGGUUAGAUGGUCUUCGAUGGACACAGAACACAGCUGAUGAACAGGCAACCAGUUUUAGGAAAGCAAGAAUUGUUUUUCCAUCUGAAGAUGUGAAGAUUUCAGAAACCAGUCCAGUAUGCUGUCUUUGUAAGAAAUGCUACAGUGGAGAUGCUAUUUAUAUUGCUUGUGAGAAUUGUGAAGAUUGGUUCCAUGGGGAUAUAUAUUCUAUUACCAUAGAAAAUGCCAAUAAUCUCAUAGGCUUCAAGUGUCAUGCAUGCCGUCUGAGAGCUGUUCCUGUUUGUCCAUAUGCACAAGCUGAUGCAAUUCUUAAGGAUCAAUCAGACAGGGAAGAGGCCAUUGAUAGGUCUAUAGAGGACAAGGACAGCAAUUGUUCGAAAGAUCUGUUCACUUCCAAUGAUCUGAAAGUGCUUCACGGUCAUAACAUUGAGGAGCUCCAGAGUCAUAGCAUUGAGGAACGGGUUCCUGAUAGUAUUUGUUUGGAAGUGCUAGAAGAUUAUAAUGAUCUGAAAGAGUCAGGCAGUCAUAGCACUGAGAGAGAGCCAGGCAGUCAUAGCACUGAGAAAGAGCCAGGUAGUCAUAGCACUGAGAAAGAGCUUGAUGAUUGUAAUGGGUUAAAGGAGCUGGAGAGCCAUAACAAUAUGGAAGAACUUGACAGUCACAGCACUGAGAAAGAGCUUGAUGAUUGUAAUGGGUUAAAGGAGCCGGAGAGCCAUAACAAUAUGGAAGAGCUUGACAGUCAUAGUACUGAGAAAGAGCUUGAUGAUUGUAAUGGGUUGAAGGAGCCGGAGAGCCAUAACAACAUGGAAGAGCUUGACAGUCAUAUCACUGAGAGGAGUCCUCAUGAUCAUAAUAAUCUGAAUGAGCUUGACAAUCACUGGGGUGAGAAAAAGCUUGAUGAUUGUAACUGUCUGAGUGAACUUGGCAAUCAUAACAAUGUGAUAGAUCUCAAUGAGAACAGUCCAGAAGAGCUUGGUUGUACUGAAGAUAGCAAAUUUUCUGCAGGGGAAACACAAUGUCUGAAAGAGCUGGACAAACUGAAAGAUCUCGACAAUCUUAACAGUAAAAAAGAGCUUGGUAAUUACAACCGUCUGGACAAGCUUGAUCACCAUAGCAGUCUAAAGGAGCUUGAAAAUCAUAGUAGUGUGGAAGAGCUUGAUAGUCAUGACUACCCAAAAGAGCUUGAUGAUCAGAACCGUCUGAAUGAUCUUGGUAAUCAUAAAAAUCUAAAAGAGCUUCAUAGUGCUCAAAAUGGCCAAGUUACUGCAGUAACACAUACAGAUGGUUUAAUAGAUGAGCAGUUUAACACUAGAAUAUCUAACAAAGAAGCCAUGAUCAUGACAUCCGAAAGUGAUUUGGUGAAGGAAUCUAUUGCUUUACAAUCCAACGGUAGUUCCGUGGAUAAUGUUGUUCCUGCUGAACUGGAGAUGGAUAUUCAGGUUCCCCUGAGCUUAUUGACUUUGUAG